RNAcentral lists this unclassified non-coding RNA (296 nucleotides) under Acidocella aminolytica 101 = DSM 11237. RNAcentral's name for it is "Long range pseudoknot". Lineage: Bacteria; Pseudomonadati; Pseudomonadota; Alphaproteobacteria; Acetobacterales; Acidocellaceae. The record is from RNAcentral.
ACCAAGUGAAGCUGCGCGCGAUGAAGAGCUUUAUUGGCGAGGGCGACAAGGUGAAGGUCACUUUGCGUUUCCGUGGCCGCGAAAUGGCGCAUCAGGAGUUGGGCGUGAAGGUACUGGAGCGUAUCCGUGGCGACAUGGAGGCUGACACCAAGGUUGAGCAGAUGCCAAAACUGGAAAUGCGCCAGAUGGUUAUGGUAUUGGCGCCGAAAUAAGCGUAGGCCGUUCUAAACCAAAAAGCCCGGUAUUUUACCGGGCUUUUUAUUUGGUUGGGCCGUACGGCCCGGAUUAUUCAGCUU